AUUUUUCGCUGGCGGCAUGCCUUACACAUGCAAGUCGAACGGCAGCACGGAGCUUGCUCUGGUGGCGAGUGGCGAACGGGUGAGUAAUAUAUCGGAACGUACCCUAGAGUGGGGGAUAACGUAGCGAAAGUUACGCUAAUACCGCAUACGAUCUAAGGAUGAAAGUGGGGGAUCGCAUGACCUCAUGCUCGUGGAGCGGCCGAUAUCUGAUUAGCUAGUUGGUAGGGUAAAAGCCUACCAAGGCAUCUAUCAGUAGCUGGUCUGAGAGGACGACCAGCCACACUGGAACUGAGACACGGUCCAGACUCCUACGGGAGGCAGCAGUGGGGAAUUUUGGACAAUGGGCGAAAGCCUGAUCCAGCAAUGCCGCGUGAGUGAAGAAGGCCUUCUGGUUGUAAAGCUCUUUUGUCAGGGAAGAAACGGUGAGAGCUAAUAUCUCUUGCUAAUGACUGUACCUUGAAGAAUAAGCACCGGCUAACUACUUGCUCAACAACCGCGGUAAUACGUAGGGUGCAAGCGUUAAUCGGGAAUUACUGGGCGUAAAGCGUGCGCAAGCGGUUUUGUAAGUCUGAUGUGAAAAUCCCCGGGCUCAACCUGGGAAAUGCCAUGGGAGAUGCCAAAGGCUAGAAUCUGGCAGAGGGGGGUAGAAUUCUCACGUGAACAAGGGAAAUCGGUAGAAUAUGUGGAGAACACCGAUGGGCAAAGGCAGCCCCCUGGGGUCAAGAUUGACGCUCAUGCACGAAAGCGUGGGGAGCAACAGGAUUAGAUACCCUGGUAGUCCACGCCCUAAACGAUGUCUACUAGUUGUCGGGUCUUAAUUGACUUGGUAACGCAGCUAACGCGUGAAGUAGACCGCCUGGGGAGUACGGUCGCAAGAUUAAAACUCAAAGGAAUUGACGGGGACCCGCACAAGCGGUGGAUGAUGUGGAUUAAUUCGAUGCAACGCGAAAAACCUUACCUACCCUUGACAUGGCUGGAAUCCUUGAGAGAUCAGGGAGUGCUCGAAAGAGAACCAGUACACAGGUGCUGCAUGGCUGUCGUCAGCUCGUGUCGUGAGAUGUUGGGUUAAGUCCCGCAACGAGCGCAACCCUUGUCAUUAGUUGCUACGAAAGGGCACUCUAAUGAGACUGCCGGUGACAAACCGGAGGAAGGUGGGGAUGACGUCAAGUCCUCAUGGCCCUUAUGGGUAGGGCUUCACACGUCAUACAAUGGUACAUACAGAGCGCCGCCAACCCGCGAGGGGGAGCUAAUCGCAGAAAGUGUAUCGUAGUCCGGAUUGUAGUCUGCAACUCGACUGCAUGAAGUUGGAAUCGCUAGUAAUCGCGGAUCAGCAUGUCGCGGUGAAUACGUUCCCGGGUCU
Molecule: ribosomal RNA, 1360 nt
Filed under: uncultured bacterium
Lineage: Bacteria
Description: bacterial SSU rRNA
Rfam family: Bacterial small subunit ribosomal RNA
Source: RNAcentral